CAAAGGGAGCGAUUCCGGCAACGGAUGGGCAUGCGUGACAUUAGCUAGUUGGCGGGGCAACGGCCCACCAAGGCGACGAUGUCUAGGGGUUCUGAGAGGAAGGUCCCCCACACUGGUACUGAGACACGGACCAGACUCCUACGGGAGGCAGCAGUGAGGAAUAUUGGUCAAUGGGCGCGAGCCUGAACCAGCCAAGUCGCGUGAGGGAUGACGGCCCUACGGGUUGUAAACCUCUUUUGUCGGGGAGCAAAUUCCGUUACGUGUAACGGAGUCGAGAGUACCCGAAGAAAAAGCAUCGGCUAACUCCGUGCCAGCAGCCGCGGUAAUACGGAGGAUGCGAGCGUUAUCCGGAUUUAUUGGGUUUAAAGGGUGCGUAGGCGGACUGUCAAGUCAGCGGUAAAAUACGGGGGCUCAACCUCCGCCCGCCGUUGAAACUGACGGUCUUGAGUGGGCGAGAAGUAUGCGGAAUGCGUGGUGUAGCGGUGAAAUGCAUAGAUAUCACGCAGAACUCCGAUUGCGAAGGCAGCAUACCGGCGCCCAACUGACGCUGAAGCACGAGAGCGUGGGUAUCGAACAGGAUUAGAUACCCUGGUAGUCCACGCAGUAAACGAUGAAUACUAGCUGUCCGGGGCGAAUGAGCCCUGG
RNAcentral lists this ribosomal RNA (645 nucleotides) under uncultured bacterium. RNAcentral describes it as "bacterial SSU rRNA". It matches the Rfam family "Bacterial small subunit ribosomal RNA", at positions 201 to 842 of the family's 1533-position model. The record is from RNAcentral.